This 497-nucleotide ribosomal RNA is filed under the name uncultured bacterium. Its description in RNAcentral is "partial 16S ribosomal RNA". It matches the Rfam family "Bacterial small subunit ribosomal RNA", at positions 28 to 523 of the family's 1533-position model. The record is from RNAcentral.
GAUGAACGCUGGCGGCGUGCUUAACACAUGCAAGUCGAACGAAGCACUUUUACAGAUUUCUUCGGAUUGAAAUUUUAGUGACUGAGUGGCGGACGGGUGAGUAACGCGUGGGUAACCUGCCUCACACAGGGGGAUAACAGUUGGAAACGGCUGCUAAUACCGCAUAAGCGCACAGUACCGCAUGGUACGGUGUGAAAAACUCCGGUGGUGUGAGAUGGACCCGCGUCUGAUUAGCUAGUUGGCAGGGCAACGGCCUACCAAGGCGACGAUCAGUAGCCGACCUGAGAGGGUGAGCGGCCACAUUGGGACUGAGACACGGCCCAAACUCCUACGGGAGGCAGCAGUGGGGAAUAUUGCACAAUGGGGGAAACCCUGAUGCAGCGACGCCGCGUGAGCGAAGAAGUAUUUCGGUAUGUAAAGCUCUAUCAGCAGGGAAGAAGAAAUGACGGUACCUGACUAAGAAGCACCGGCUAAAUACGUGCCAGCCGCCGCGGUAA